This 390-nucleotide long non-coding RNA is filed under the name Carica papaya (papaya). RNAcentral's name for it is "long non-coding RNA (CPAP_LNC006087)". Lineage: Eukaryota; Viridiplantae; Streptophyta; Magnoliopsida; Brassicales; Caricaceae. The record is from RNAcentral.
AAGGGUUAGGUUGUGAUCCAUAGAAAGACCAGUAAGGGUGAAAAUAACAAUAGAAGGGAAAUGGGGAACCAAAGUAGAGUUAGGAUUGAUCAAGUCUAGGGUAGUUAGGAGUUGUGUCUAAAAAUAUAGGAAAGUCAAGAUUAUAAUAAAACGUACUUAACCGAACAGUUUGGUAAAAUUUGAUUCACCUAAUUUUCUUGUAAGUCUGAUUGUCUUGUUUUGGGACUCGAUCAAAAUGCAAGUGUUGGUAUUUGGGUUCCAGGUUAGAACUAAUGUUUAGUAUUUUUGUAUUGGAAAACUGAACCGUUGGAUUCAUGUAUGGCGACUGGAGAGAUUGAAUGAUUGCAUUCAUUGAUUGAUUGACGUCCCCACUCGUGAUUUUGGUCAAUG